Molecule: non-coding RNA, 431 nt
Filed under: Ophiocoma echinata
Lineage: Eukaryota; Metazoa; Echinodermata; Ophiuroidea; Amphilepidida; Ophiocomidae
Source: RNAcentral
ACAAUGAGAAUGGAACCCUUCUUGAGAGAAGCAUGUGUGAACUUACGUUCACACUAACCCUAGAUUUUCCACCCCUUUGCUUUGCUAUAUCUGACAGUUUUUGUAGCUAGUUUUCUGCUAGAUGUAAAGGGGGCAAGGUUUUGAUCGUAGCGAAAGAAACUAGCUUGCUUUGAAACCGUCAAAACGGGGUCGCUUUCUCAAGUGUGAAGGCCAGAAUACAGAGGUGGUAUUGCUGGUGGGGCAAGCAAGACUGCGGAAUUCGGCAGCGUGGUUGUUAAUCAUUGCAAGUCGUCAUCUGUGGUUCUUUCUUGUAUUAACUCACCCUGGCAGUCUGUACACUGUUAUUGAUACCUUUCACGCAGAGCAAACAUGGUGCUUGAUAUGCCUUCUUCCAAGCUAUGGAAUUAAGGAUGAUAUUGCACCAAACAUUU